CACACAGUAAACGAUAAUCACUAGGUGUCGGGUUCGAAGAGGAUUCGGUGCCGCAGCUAACGCGUUAAGUGAUUCGCCUGGGGAGUACGAUCGCAAGGUUGAAACUCAAAGGAAUUGACGGGGGCCCGCACAAGCGGUGGAGCAUGUGGUUUAAUUCGAAGCAACGCGAAGAACCUUACCCGGUCUUGACAUCCAUAGAAUCUUCCAGAGAUGGAGGAGUGCCGGUUUACCGGAACUAUGAGACAGGUGC
RNAcentral lists this ribosomal RNA (250 nucleotides) under uncultured Candidatus Cloacimonas sp. Its description in RNAcentral is "partial 16S ribosomal RNA". It matches the Rfam family "Bacterial small subunit ribosomal RNA", at positions 796 to 1041 of the family's 1533-position model. Lineage: Bacteria; Pseudomonadati; Candidatus Cloacimonadota; Cloacimonadia (SeqCode); Cloacimonadales (SeqCode); Cloacimonadaceae (SeqCode). The record is from RNAcentral.